RNAcentral lists this ribosomal RNA (468 nucleotides) under uncultured bacterium. RNAcentral's name for it is "partial 16S ribosomal RNA". It matches the Rfam family "Bacterial small subunit ribosomal RNA", at positions 28 to 507 of the family's 1533-position model. The record is from RNAcentral.
GACGAACGCUGGCGGCGUGCUUAACACAUGCAAGUCGAACGGAAAGGCCCUGCUUUUGUGGGGUGCUCGAGUGGCGAACGGGUGAGAAACACGUGAGUAACCUGCCCUUGACUUUGGGAUAACUUCAGGAAACUGGGGCUAAUACCGGAUAGGAGCUCCUGCUGCAUGGUGGGGGUUGGAAAGUUUCGGCGGUUGGGGAUGGACUCGCGGCUUAUCAGCUGGUUGGUGGGGUAGUGGCUUACCAAGGCUUCGACGGGUAGCCGGCCUGAGAGGGUGACCGGCCACAUUGGGACUGAGAUACGGCCCAGACUCCUACGGUAGGCAGCAGUGGGGAAUAUUGCACAAUGGGCGGAAGCCUGAUGCAGCAACGCCGCGUGCGGGAUGACGUCCUUCGGGUUGUAAACCGCUUUCGCCUGUGACGAAGCGGGAGUGACGGUAAUGGGUAAAGAAGCACCGGCUAACUACGUG